This 497-nucleotide ribosomal RNA is filed under the name uncultured bacterium. RNAcentral describes it as "partial 16S ribosomal RNA". It matches the Rfam family "Bacterial small subunit ribosomal RNA", at positions 28 to 507 of the family's 1533-position model. The record is from RNAcentral.
GAUGAACGCUGGCGGCGUGCCUAAUACAUGCAAGUCGAGCGAACGGACGAGAAGCUUGCUUUUCUGAUGUUAGCGGCGGACGGGUGAGUAACACGUGGAUAACCUACCUAUAAGACUGGGAUAACUUCGGGAAACCGGAGCUAAUACCGGAUAAUAUUUUGAACCGCAUGGUUCAAAAGUGAAAGACGGUUUUGCUGUCACUUAUAGAUGGAUCCGCGCUGCAUUAGCUAGUUGGUAAGGUAACGGCUUACCAAGGCAACGAUGCGUAGCCGACCUGAGAGGGUGAUCGGCCACACUGGAACUGAGACACGGUCCAGACUCCUACGGGAGGCAGCAGUAGGGAAUCUUCCGCAAUGGGCGAAAGCCUGACGGAGCAACGCCGCGUGAGUGAUGAAGGUCUUCGGAUCGUAAAACUCUGUUAUUAGGGAAGAACAUAUGUGUAAGUAACUAUGCACAUCUUGACGGUACCUAAUCAGAAAGCCACGGCUAACUACGUG